GUGGGGAAUCUUGCGCAAUGGGCGAAAGCCUGACGCAGCCAUGCCGCGUGAAUGAUGAAGGUCUUAGGAUUGUAAAAUUCUUUCACCGGGGACGAUAAUGACGGUACCCGGAGAAGAAGCUCCGGCUAACUUCGUGCCAGCAGCCGCGGUAAUACGAAGGGGGCUAGCGUUGCUCGGAAUUACUGGGCGUAAAGGGCGCGUAGGCGGACAGCUUAGUCAGAGGUGAAAGCCCAGGGCUCAACCUUUGAAUUGCCUUUGAUACUGGCUGUCUUGAGUUUGGGAGAGGUGAGUGGAACUCCGAGUGUAGAGGUGAAAUUCGUAGAUAUUCGGAAGAACACCAGUGGCGAAGGCGACUCACUGGCCCAAUACUGACGCUGAGGCGCGAAAGCGUGGGGAGCAAACAGGAUUAGAUACCCUUGUAGUCC
This 425-nucleotide ribosomal RNA is filed under the name uncultured bacterium. RNAcentral's name for it is "partial 16S ribosomal RNA". It matches the Rfam family "Bacterial small subunit ribosomal RNA", at positions 354 to 796 of the family's 1533-position model. The record is from RNAcentral.